This 374-nucleotide long non-coding RNA is filed under the name Mytilus galloprovincialis (Mediterranean mussel). Lineage: Eukaryota; Metazoa; Mollusca; Bivalvia; Mytilida; Mytilidae. The record is from RNAcentral.
AAUCCUGACAGUGCUAAAGAAUUAACACACGAUAAAUACCAUACUAGGAUUCUAUCAGUCCGGUAGCCCGUAACAGCAUGAAAUCUAGUAGAAUAAAAAAUAUAACAAGAAUGACACGCCGCCCAGGAUAAAAAGGUGUCAAUCGGAUGUUGUCAAGGACACAACAACACCGAUUUUAACAGGUGUCCCAAGGAUCAUCUUAAAUGAUGAAUUUCGAACAGCGGUAUACUACUGUUGCCCUUAUUUAUAACCACCGGACCGGAAUUCCUACUGGUGGACAAUCUGUCCCGAGGAAGUUCUGUCAGUCCGGUAGCCUAACAGCAUGAAAACUAGUAGAAUAAAAAAUGUUUACAUCUUACGCCUUAUGUAUAAUU